This is a small nucleolar RNA of Lathyrus oleraceus (garden pea), 107 nucleotides long. NCBI's taxonomy places the organism in Eukaryota, Viridiplantae, Streptophyta, Magnoliopsida, Fabales, Fabaceae. The record is from RefSeq and is a predicted model, not a curated record.
AGUCCAUGAUAUGCACACAGUCUCAUCAUAUACUUUUACCUUUCCCGUGCUUCAAAAAGUGAUUCUCCAUAUUUCUGUUUGAAUCCGUUGAUUUGACUUCUUAGCAU